GAAAAACAAGGCGAGUAAGCAUAGAAGGAGAUAGAUCCUGAAUUACUGACCCCAUUUUUGGACCAAAACAGAACUGUCCUCCACUCUGUGGCCACUUCCGAGUGAAAGUUUGCAACUUUACGGAGAUCGAAGAUGACAAUGACGGCGAAGCUAAGUUCUAUGAAAACCAUGUGUUUAGCUUCAGCUUUCAGGAGCUUCCACUUUCCACUGCUAUGGGAUUUGGGAGUCGGUAACUUUCAUUAUCCAACCCUAUUGUUUACUUGCUGUUUCCAUUCUUCUUCUAGAUCAACUUCCACUCGCACGCAUAAAGAUGCAAGCUUGCUAUCUAAAUUCAAUUAUGCUUUUUUUAAGGACGUUAAUGAUGCCCUAGCUUCCUUUAAUCACAUCAUUCUUAUGCAUCCUCUGCCUUCUAUUGUUGAAUUUGGUCGAUUUUUAUCUGCUCUUGUCAGAAUGAAACAAUACCACACUGUUCUUUCCUUGUCCAGAACAAUUGAGUCCCUAGGAAUCUCACACAAUGUUCAUUCUCUUAAUAUCUUGAUUAACUGCUUCUGCCGCUUGCACCUUGUGGAUUUUGGCUUCUCAACUUUUGGGAAAAUCCUCAAAAUUGGAAUGGACCCCGACAUUGUGACAUUUAACACCUUAAUUAACGGCCUCUGUGUAGAGGGUAAAAUCAAUCUAGCAGUAGACUUUUUCAAUGAUAUGGUUGCAGGAGGUUAUCAACCUGAUGUUUGUACUUACAAUGUGAUAGUAAAUGGACUCUGUAAAUUUGGGAAAAUAGAUGUGGCUAUUGAGUUGUUGAAAGAAAUGGUUGAGAGAGGUUGUGAGCCAGACACCGCGACAUACACUGCAAUAAUCGAUGCCCUAUGCAAGGAUAAGCUAGCUGUUGAGGCUUUAGACAUGUUCUCCCAAAUGAGAAAUAAAGGCAUCUCACCUAAUGUCAUCACAUACACCAGCUUAAUUCAUGGUCUUUUCAAAUUAGGCAAACAAAAUCAAGCUUUGGCCUUGUUGAAUGAAAUGGUACGGAAUAAAAUAUCACCAGACGUUUAUACCUUCAAUGUGUUGAUUGACAUUCUUUGUAAGGAAGGAAUGGUUUUUGAGGCUCAAAAUACAUUUAAAAUAAUGAUUCAAAGAGGUGUAGAGCCUAAUGUGGUCACAUACAGCUCCUUAAUUGAUGGCCUUUGCAUUUCAGACCAAUGGAAGGAAUCUUUAGCCUUGUUGAAAGAAAUGGUGUGGCGGAACAUAUCCCCUAAUGUUUUUACCUUUAGUAUAUUGAUUGACACUCUUUGUAAGGAAGGACUGGUUUCAAAAGCU
This 1311-nucleotide unclassified non-coding RNA is filed under the name Hevea brasiliensis (rubber tree). The record is from RNAcentral. Lineage: Eukaryota; Viridiplantae; Streptophyta; Magnoliopsida; Malpighiales; Euphorbiaceae.